RNAcentral lists this ribosomal RNA (477 nucleotides) under uncultured bacterium. Its description in RNAcentral is "bacterial SSU rRNA". It matches the Rfam family "Bacterial small subunit ribosomal RNA", at positions 328 to 793 of the family's 1533-position model. The record is from RNAcentral.
UCAGUCGACUCCUACGGGGAGGCAGCAGUGGGGGAAUAUUGCACAAUGGGCGCAAGCCUGAUGCAGCCAUGCCGCGUGUGUGAAGAAGGCCUUCGGGUUGUAAAGCACUUUCAGUCGUGAGGAAGGUAGUGUAGUUAAUAGCUGCAUUAUUUGACGUUAGCGACAGAAGAAGCACCGGCUAACUCCGUGCCAGCAGCCGCGGUAAUACGGGAGGGUGCGAGCGUUAAUCGGAAUUACUGGGCGUAAAGCGCAUGCAGGUGGUUUGUUAAGUCAGAUGUGAAAGCCCGGGGCUCAACCUCGGAAUAGCAUUUGAAACUGGCAGACUAGAGUACUGUAGAGGGGGGUAGGAAUUUCAGGUGUAGCGGUGAAAUGCGUAGAGAUCUGAAGGAAUACCGGUGGCGAAGGCGGCCCCCUGGACAGAUACUGACACUCAGAUGCGAAAGCGUGGGGAGCAAACAGGAUUAGAUACCCUGGUAG